GCGUUGGUGGUAUAGUGGUGAGCAUUGCUGUCUUCCAAGCAGUUGACCCGGGUUCGAUUCCCAGACAAUGCA
Molecule: non-coding RNA, 72 nt
Organism: Xenopus tropicalis (tropical clawed frog)
Lineage: Eukaryota; Metazoa; Chordata; Amphibia; Anura; Pipidae
Source: Rfam